AUGGUGGCCGCGGGGCUCGAGACGAAGGGCGCAGGCGGAUGGGUGACCGUCGCGUCCCAGCCCCUUCGCCAAGUUCCGCCCCGCCCCAUGGCAUGGACUGGCGACCACUCGCAGCGGCCGGCUGAGGUCUUCACUGUGAUUCAUGCGACGCCGGCCAUGCAUCAGGAGGCUGUGCUCCUCGGCUCCAACGCCGUCGUUGCAUGGCUCGACCGCGACAUCAGGGCCAGUCCGCAAGACAUCGCCGCCGCCAUCGUCCAGGAGAUGGGCAUGCUAGCGGAGGACGUCUCCGUCGUCAGACACUUCCCCGAGGCCUACCUGGUGCGGUUCUCCCACCAGCAUCACUGUGCGGACGCGGCCGGGCGCCGUGACCUGAAGUUCCGCGACACUAGGCUGCAGAUGCGCUCUUGGCGCCUCGAGGCGCACUCGAAGAACGUGGACCUCGUCCACCACGUCCGGCUCUGUUUGGACGGACUCCCGCUGCAGGCGUGGGAUGAGUUCGCCGUAGCGCAGGCCAUCGGCCCCGAAUGCUCCAUCGACUACAUUGAAGCUGCGUCCAAGCUCAAGACUGACACCGAGGUGCUUGGGGUGUGGGCAUGGACGGCGUCACCGGCAAACGUCCCGCGAGUAAACUGGGUGACUCUGCCAGCGCGCGCUGGUGGUCAGCCGGCCUUUCGUCGACGCGGACUGGAGCGGCGGGUAAUCAUCCAUCUCUCCAUCCAUGAAGACCCCACGCAAGGCCCAAGGAUUGUAUCCAAGGGGUACACUUUCCAGAAGGGUGUCGUUGACGGCGAGAGGCAGGCCCGCGAUCCACACGAGCGUAUCUCUCGCCCCGUUGACAACAACAGGCGCGACAGAGACGACGACCCAGGGCGUGGACGGGAUGACAGGGACCGCCGCGGAAGAGACAACUCGCGGCACCGGGAGGGCUGGGGAGACCGCUUCCGACGCAGUCUCUCCCGUCAGCCGAGGGAUGCAUCACGCGACCAGGGACGCGCUGAUGGGCGCGGUGGCCGCAGGGACGCUGGCGGCCGUGAUGGUCGUCGCCGCUCGGCCGAGCCGGCUGGGCUGGCCACGGCGACAACGGUUCUUCUCGGCUCCGGCUCUGCAAGCGGGGAGGAGGCCCGUGUCCUUGAGUCGCUGCCGGUGCAGGCCCCGCCGUUGGCUUCUAGGCGUGGCCGCAGCCCGGCGUGCCACCCCUCGCCUCGCUCUGCUCGCCGGCGCUCUCAGGAAAGCCUCACGCCGCCAGUUUCGCCUCCUCUGUCUCCCACAACUGUGCUACCUCCAUCGCCACGUUCCAACAGAGGCGAGGCCCGGCCUUCUCCGACCUCGCUGGCUGCCCCAAGCCAGGAGCUGCUCCACCUCUGCUCACCACUCAGGCUCCAAGCGCCUCUGACCUCGCCGGCCAAGCCGCCGGGUUUUGAAGCCUCACCAACGCCACCUUUGGUCUCCAGCGGGCCUCUACGACGCACGCCAUCGCCGCGACGGCUGUGUGGGCCUGCUACUGCAGGUGCCGUGGGCUUACAAUGCCUCGCACCGCUCUUCGAGGAUCGCCAGGAUGCAAUCUUGCCAUCACCUACUUCAACUCCACCUAAGGCACCGGCUGCUCGUCGGAAAACCCUGGCUGGGGUCACCAUUUCCAAGUCUGGUGGCUUAUUCUCGAUCCACAAGACACGCACUUCAGGGUGUGCCAAGGCGGCGCCGGCUGCCAAGGCGGCAGAGCUGCUCCUGUGCCGCAGCUUGGGUAUUGUCAAAGAUGGUGAAGAUGUCACUGCAGCUGCACUCGAUGCCUUCGUGGACCGCUUCAAGGAGCAGUUGCCACCUGAUGUGAUUGCUGCUAUGCGCGGAUUGUUCAAGCUUGAUGAUGGAGAUGCAACAGAUGUCGAGGAGGCACUCAUUGCGCAUGGAGGAGGAGGCGCCCUCAACCUGGAGAGGACUGAUGAGGGCGCCGCUGUCCAGCAGGCGUCCUUUUGA
RNAcentral lists this ribosomal RNA (1971 nucleotides) under Triticum aestivum (bread wheat). Its description in RNAcentral is "partial small subunit ribosomal RNA". Lineage: Eukaryota; Viridiplantae; Streptophyta; Magnoliopsida; Poales; Poaceae. The record is from RNAcentral.